RNAcentral lists this ribosomal RNA (449 nucleotides) under uncultured bacterium. RNAcentral's name for it is "partial 16S ribosomal RNA". It matches the Rfam family "Bacterial small subunit ribosomal RNA", at positions 29 to 523 of the family's 1533-position model. The record is from RNAcentral.
AACGAACGCUGGCGGCAGGCCUAACACAUGCAAGUCGAACGCUGUAGCAAUACAGAGUGGCAGACGGGUGAGUAACACGUGGGAAUCUUCCUAUCGGUACGGAAUAGCUCAGGGAAACUUGGGGUAAUACCGCAUACGCCCUUCGGGGGAAAGAUUUAUCGCCGAUAGAUGAGCCCGCGUCUGAUUAGCUAGUUGGUGAGGUAAUGGCUCACCAAGGCGACGAUCAGUAGCUGGUCUGAGAGGAUGACCAGCCACACUGGGACUGAGACACGGCCCAGACUCCUACGGGAGGCAGCAGUGGGGAAUAUUGGACAAUGGGCGCAAGCCUGAUCCAGCCAUGCCGCGUGAGUGACGAAGGUCUUCGGAUUGUAAAGCCCUUUUGGCGGGGACGAUAAUGACGGUACCCGCAGAAUAAGCCCCGGCUAACUUCGUGCCAGCCGCCGCGGUAA